AAGGAAUAUUGGACAAUGGGCGGAAGCCUGAUCCAGCCAUGCCGCGUGAAGGACGAAGGCGCUCAGCGUUGUAAACUUCUUUUGGAUGGGAACAAUAAUCGAGACUUGUCUUGACUUGAGGGUACCAUCAGAAUAAGCACCGGCUAACUCCGUGCCAGCAGCCGCGGUAAUACGGAGGGUGCAAGCGUUAUCCGGAAUCACUGGGUUUAAAGGGUGCGUAGGCGGCCCGAUAAGUCAGUCGUGAAAUCGCUGGGCUCAACCCAUGCAAUUGCGAUUGAUACUGUUGGACUUGAAUUAGGUUGAGGCUGGCGGAAUGCGACAUGUAGCGGUGAAAUGCUUAGAUAUGUCGCAGAACACCGAUUGCGAAGGCAGCCAGCUGGGCCUUUAUUGACGCUGAGGCACGAAAGCGUGGGGAGCAAAC
RNAcentral lists this ribosomal RNA (421 nucleotides) under uncultured bacterium. Its description in RNAcentral is "bacterial SSU rRNA". It matches the Rfam family "Bacterial small subunit ribosomal RNA", at positions 356 to 773 of the family's 1533-position model. The record is from RNAcentral.